RNAcentral lists this ribosomal RNA (433 nucleotides) under uncultured bacterium. RNAcentral's name for it is "partial 16S ribosomal RNA". It matches the Rfam family "Bacterial small subunit ribosomal RNA", at positions 29 to 507 of the family's 1533-position model. The record is from RNAcentral.
AACGAACGCUGGCGGCAUGCCUAACACAUGCAAGUCGAACGAACCCUUCGGGUCUAGUGGCGCCCGGGUUCGUCACGCGUGGGAACCUUCCCUUAGGUUCGGAAUAACUCUCCGACAGGGGUGCUAAUGCCGGAUAAUGUCUUCUAACCAAAGAUUUAUCGCACUUGUAUGGUCACUCGUUGAAUUAGCUUGUUCUUAGGGUUAAAGCCUAUCACGGCGACGAUCAAUAGCUGGUCUGAGAGGAUGAUCAGCCACACUGGGACUGGGAAACGGCCCAGACUCUUACGGGAGGCAGGAGAGGGUAAUAGUGGACAAUGGGCGAAAGGCUGAUCCAGCAAUGCCGCGUGAGUGAUGAAGGCCUUAGGGUUGUAAAGCUCUUUUACCCGGGAUGAUAAUGACAGUACCGGGAGAAUAAGCUCCGGCUAACUCCGUG